UACGGCGGUCAUGGCGGAGGGGAAACGCCCGGUUACAUUCCGAACCCGGAAGCUAAGCCCUCCAGCGCUGCUGCAAC
This 77-nucleotide ribosomal RNA is filed under the name Micromonospora noduli. Lineage: Bacteria; Bacillati; Actinomycetota; Actinomycetes; Micromonosporales; Micromonosporaceae. The record is from RNAcentral.